UUGUAUAACCGGGAGGUAUAAGGGCUGUCGCUGACUUUUUCAAGUUGUGCACGCCCAAGUGCCUCUCAUUAUAUCCAUUUCACCCCUUGUGCACCACCACGUGAGUCCCUUUUAAAAGGGGGCUUGCGUUUUUAACAUAGACACCCCUUUAACAGUGUAGAAUGUGUUUAAUAUGUAAUUAAUA
Molecule: unclassified non-coding RNA, 184 nt
Filed under: uncultured Russula
Lineage: Eukaryota; Fungi; Basidiomycota; Agaricomycetes; Russulales; Russulaceae
Description: sequence contains ITS1
Source: RNAcentral